Molecule: long non-coding RNA, 2223 nt
Filed under: Canis lupus familiaris (dog)
Lineage: Eukaryota; Metazoa; Chordata; Mammalia; Carnivora; Canidae
Description: lncRNA (ENSCAFG00040006087.1)
Source: RNAcentral
AUGAGAAUGCCUCCUCACAGGGCUUCUGUGGGACUUAGAGGGGUUGAUUUAGGUACAGUGUUUAGAAUAGAGACUAGCAAUAGGCACAACAUAAAGUUAGUAGUCCUCACCAUCAUCUUCACCACCAUCAACAUCCCUGCCACCAUCACAAUCACCACCAUCAGCACCAUCACUACCAUCACCAUCACCAUCACCACUAUAAUCAUCACCAUCACCAUCACCACCACCAUCAUCACCACAUCACUACCAUCACCACCAUCACCACCAUUACCACCAUCACCACCAUCAACGCCAUCAGCACCAUCACCACCAUCAACGCCAUCAACACCAUCACCACCAUCACCACCAUCACCACCAUCAACGCCAUCAGCGCCAUCAGCACUACCACCAUCACCACCAUCAGUGCCAUCAGCGCCACCACCAUCACCACCAUCAGCACCAUCACCACCAUCAGCGCCACCACCAUCACCACCAUCAGCACCACCACCAUCACCACCAUCAGCACCAUCACCACCAUCAGCACCAUCACCAUCAGCGCCACCACCAUCACCACCAUCAGCACCAUCACCACCAUCAGCGCCAUCAACGCCAUCAGCACCAUCACCACCACCACCACCAUCAGCACCAUCACCACCAUCAGUGCCACCACCAUCACCACCAUCAGCACCAUCACCACCAUCACCACCAUCAGCACCAUCACCACCAUCAGCGCCACCACCAUCACCACCAUCAGCACCAUCACCACCAUCAGCACCACCACCAUCACCACCAUCACUGCCAUCAGCGCCACCACCAUCACCACCAUCAGCACCAUCACCACCAUCAGCGCCAUCAACGCCAUCAGCACCAUCACCACCAUCACCGCCAUCAGCGCCAUCAGCGCCACCACCAUCACCACCACCACCACCAUCAGCACCAUCAGCACCAUCACCACCAUCAGUGCCACCACCAUCACCACCAUCAGCACUAUCACCACCAUCAACACCAUCAGCGCCAUCAGCGCCACCACCAUCAGCACCAUCAGCACCAUCACCACCAUCAGCGCCACCACCAUCACCACCAUCAGCGCCACCACCAUCACCACCAUCACCACCAUCACCACCAUCAGCACCACCACCAUCACCACCAUCAGCACCAUCACCACCAUCAGCGCCACCACCAUCACCACCAUCAGCACCAUCACCACCAUCAGCACCACCACCAUCACCACCAUCACUGCCAUCAGCGCCACCACCAUCACCACCAUCAGCACCAUCACCACCAUCAGCGCCAUCAACGCCAUCAGCACCAUCACCACCAUCACCGCCAUCAGCGCCAUCAGCGCCACCACCACCACCACCAUCAGCACCAUCAGCACCAUCACCACCAUCAGUGCCACCACCAUCACCACCAUCAGCACUAUCACCACCAUCAACACCAUCAGCGCCAUCAGCGCCACCACCAUCAGCACCAUCAGCACCAUCACCACCAUCAGCGCCACCACCAUCACCACCAUCAGCGCCACCACCAUCACCACCAUCACCACCAUCACCACCAUCAGCACCACCACCAUCACCACCAUCACUGCCAUCAGCGCCACCACCAUCACCACCAUCAGCACCAUCACCACCAUCAGCGCCAUCAACGCCAUCAGCACCAUCACCACCACCACCACCAUCAGCACCAUCAGCACCAUCACCACCAUCAGUGCCACCACCAUCACCACCAUCAGCACCAUCACCACCAUCACCACCAUCAGCACCAUCACCACCAUCAGCGCCACCACCAUCACCACCAUCAGUGCCACCACCAUCACCACCAUCAGCUCCAUCACCACCAUCAGCGCCACCACCAUCACCACCAUCAGCACCAUCACCACCAUCAGCGCCAUCAACGCCAUCAGCACCAUCAGCACCAUCACCGUCAUCAGCGCCAUCAGCGCCACCACCACCACCACCACCACCAUCAGCACCAUCAGCACCAUCACCACCAUCAGCACCACCACCAUCACCACCAUCAGCACCACCACCAUCACCACCAUCAGCACCAUCACCACCAUCAGCACCAUCACCAUCAGCGCCACCACCAUCACCACCAUCAGCACCAUCACCACCAUCAGCGCCAUCAGCGCCAUCAGCGCCAUCAGCGCCACCACCAUCACCACCAUCAGCACCGUCAGCACCAUGUUACCAUUACUUUCCUGCUGUUAGCAUUCCCCCCACCCAGCAGACAAGACUGCAGUAA